Molecule: unclassified non-coding RNA, 289 nt
Filed under: uncultured fungus
Lineage: Eukaryota; Fungi
Description: partial contains 5.8S rRNA, ITS2 and 28S rRNA
Rfam family: Eukaryotic large subunit ribosomal RNA
Source: RNAcentral
AAGGAGUCUAACAUCUAUGCGAGUGUUCGGGUGGCAAACCCCUACGCGUAAUGAAAGUGAACGGAGGUGAGAACCGCAAGGUGCAUCAUCGACCGAUCCUGAUGUCUUCGGAUGGAUUUGAGUAUGAGCAUAGCUGUUGGGACCCGAAAGAUGGUGAACUAUGCCUGAAUAGGGUGAAGCCAGAGGAAACUCUGGUGGAGGCUCGCAGCGGUUCUGACGCGCAAAUCGAUCGUCAAAUUUGGGUAUAGGGGCGAAAGACUAAUCGAACCAUCUAGUAGCUGGUUCCUGC